Long non-coding RNA from Gambusia affinis (western mosquitofish), 288 nucleotides. RefSeq lists it as uncharacterized. The transcript is spliced from 3 exons. The record is from RefSeq and is a predicted model, not a curated record. NCBI's taxonomy places the organism in Eukaryota, Metazoa, Chordata, Actinopteri, Cyprinodontiformes, Poeciliidae.
UCAAACUGCACAGCCUGUGGUCUGCUCAAUGAGGUUUUAAGCACUUUCCAUUACGGGUCGCUCGCUCCCCCCAGAAAACUGCUGUAAAAACUCCUGCAUUCGAGCCGCGUCAUCACUUUACGAGUGAUGACGCGGCAGCAUGUUGUUGUGGCGCGAGACGCAGCGGGUUUCGAAGCGACGGCAUGUCGGGGUCACAGCCGGCACAGAGAGCUGUGACCCCGACCGCAGGGCCGUGUCAAAGGGGGCCGUUGAGAUUCGCCGUGGAGCGAUAGCGUCAACACUUCAGAG